RNAcentral lists this ribosomal RNA (336 nucleotides) under uncultured bacterium. RNAcentral's name for it is "bacterial SSU rRNA". It matches the Rfam family "Bacterial small subunit ribosomal RNA", at positions 8 to 334 of the family's 1533-position model. The record is from RNAcentral.
AGGGUUUGAUUCUGGCUCAGGAUGAACGCUAGCUACAGGCUUAACACAUGCAAGUCGAGGGGCAGCAUGGACCCAGCUUUGCUGGGUUUGAUGGCGACCGGCGCACGGGUGAGUAACGCGUAUCCAACCUGCCCUUUACUCCGGGAUAGUCUCCUGAAAGGGAGUUUAAUACCGGAUGUGUUUGUCUUUCCGCAUGGGAGCGACAAAUAAAGAUUGAUGGUAAAGGAUGGGGAUGCGUCCCAUUAGCUUGUUGGCGGGGUAACGGCCCACCAAGGCGACGAUGGGUAGGGGUUCUGAGAGGAAGGUCCCCCACAUUGGAACUGAGACACGGUCCAA